GAUGAACGCUGGCGGCGUGCCUAAUACAUGCAAGUCGAGCGAACAGACGAGGAGCUUGCUCCUCUGACGUUAGCGGCGGACGGGUGUGUAACACGUGUAUAACCUACCUAUAAGACUGGGAUAACUUCGGGAAACCGGAGCUAAUACCGGAUAAUAUAUUGAACCGCAUGGUUCAAUAGUGAAAGACGGUUUUGCUGUCACUUAUAGAUGGAUCCGCGCCGCAUUAGCUAGUUGGUAAGGUAACGGCUUACCAAGGCAACGAUGCGUAGCCGACCUGAGAGGGUGAUCGGCCACACUGGAACUGAGACACGGUCCAGACUCCUACGGGAGGCAGCAGUAGGGAAUCUUCCGCAAUGGGCGAAAGCCUGACGGAGCAACGCCGCGUGAGUGAUGAAGGUCUUCGGAUCGUAAAACUCUGUUAUUAGGGAAGAACAAAUGUGUAAGUAACUAUGCACGUCUUGACGGUACCUAAUCAGAAAGCCACGGCUAACUACGUG
Molecule: ribosomal RNA, 497 nt
Filed under: uncultured bacterium
Lineage: Bacteria
Description: partial 16S ribosomal RNA
Rfam family: Bacterial small subunit ribosomal RNA
Source: RNAcentral